RNAcentral lists this ribosomal RNA (109 nucleotides) under Lottia gigantea (owl limpet). The record is from RNAcentral. Lineage: Eukaryota; Metazoa; Mollusca; Gastropoda; Lottiidae.
GUCUACGGCCAUACCACGUUGAAAGCACCAGUUCACUGAAGUUGAGCAACGUCGGGCUCGGUUAGUACUUGGAUGGGUGACCGCCUAGGAACGCCGAGUGCUGUAGACU